This 253-nucleotide long non-coding RNA is filed under the name Carica papaya (papaya). Its description in RNAcentral is "long non-coding RNA (CPAP_LNC009000)". The record is from RNAcentral. Lineage: Eukaryota; Viridiplantae; Streptophyta; Magnoliopsida; Brassicales; Caricaceae.
AUCGGGUUUGGAUUGAGUGGAAUAGGCCCAGUGGGCAGGGGAUAUGCUAAGUGGGCCUUAUCAGCUGAAAUUGACCAAAGGGUUGAGUUUGUAGGUAAGAUCAAUUGAACUGUAUAAAUAAAUUCUAAAAAUUUAAAAUGGUCUAACUGACUAGGGUUUUCUUAGGGUAAUACUGAGUUGGUACCUAGUCAUAUGUAUGCACCCAAAACCCUAAAUUCGUUUACCUGUUAUCACAAAAGAGUUGUUGUUACCC